AUCCAGCUGACGAGUCCCAAAUAGGAUAGAUGAAAUGCGCAUCCUGGAU
Molecule: non-coding RNA, 49 nt
Filed under: Trichobilharzia regenti
Lineage: Eukaryota; Metazoa; Platyhelminthes; Trematoda; Strigeidida; Schistosomatidae
Source: RNAcentral